Molecule: ribosomal RNA, 451 nt
Filed under: uncultured bacterium
Lineage: Bacteria
Description: partial 16S ribosomal RNA
Rfam family: Bacterial small subunit ribosomal RNA
Source: RNAcentral
GAUGAACGCUGGCGGCGUGCCUAACACAUGCAAGUCGAGCGGCAGCGAGGGGUGCUUGCACCCUGUCGGCGAGCGGCGGACGGCUGAGUAACGCGUGGGAACGUGCCCCAAAGUGAGGAAUAACUGCCCGAAAGGGUAGCUAAUACCGCAUAUUAUCUUCGGAUCAAAGGAUUUAUCCGCUUUGGGAGCGGCUCGCGUCGGAUUAGGUAGUUGGUGAGGUAAUGGCUCACCAAGCCGACGAUCCGUGGCUGGUCUGAGAGGAUGACCAGCCAGACUGGAACUGAGACACGGUCCAGACUCCUACGGGAGGCAGCAGUGAGGAAUCUUCCACAAUGGGCGAAAGCCUGAUGGAGCAACGCCGCGUGCAGGACGAAGGCCUUCGGGUUGUAAACUGCUUUUAUAAGUGAGGAAUAUGACGGUAACUUAUGAAUAAGGAUCGGCUAACUACGUG